AUUGAACGCUGGCGGCAUGCUUUACACAUGCAAGUCGAACGGCAGCGCGGGCUUCGGCCUGGCGGCGAGUGGCGAACGGGUGAGUAAUACAUCGGAACGUGCCCAGUAGUGGGGGAUAGCUCGGCGAAAGCCGGAUUAAUACCGCAUACGACCUGAGGGUGAAAGCGGGGGAUCUUCGGACCUCGCGCUAUUGGAGCGGCCGAUGGCAGAUUAGCUAGUUGGUGGGGUAAAGGCCUACCAAGGCGACGAUCUGUAGCUGGUCUGAGAGGACGACCAGCCACACUGGGACUGAGACACGGCUCAGACUCCUAUGGGAGGCAGCAGUGGGGAAUUUUGGACAAUGGGCGAAAGCCUGAUCCAGCAAUGCCGCGUGUGUGAUGAAGGCCUUCGGGUUGUAAAGCACUUUUGGCGGGAACGAAAAGGACUGUGCCAAUACCACGGUUCGAUGACGGUACCCGCAGAAUAAGCACCGGCUAACUACGUG
RNAcentral lists this ribosomal RNA (484 nucleotides) under uncultured bacterium. RNAcentral's name for it is "partial 16S ribosomal RNA". It matches the Rfam family "Bacterial small subunit ribosomal RNA", at positions 29 to 507 of the family's 1533-position model. The record is from RNAcentral.